UAGGGAAUCUUCGGCAAUGGACGAAAGUCUGACCGAGCAACGCCGCGUGAGUGAGGAAGGUUUUCGGAUCGUAAAACUCUGUUGUUAGAGAAGAACAAGGGUGAGAGUAACUGUUCACCCCUUGACGGUAUCUAACCAGAAAGCCACGGCUAACUACGUACCAG
This 164-nucleotide ribosomal RNA is filed under the name uncultured bacterium. RNAcentral's name for it is "partial 16S rRNA". It matches the Rfam family "Bacterial small subunit ribosomal RNA", at positions 355 to 511 of the family's 1533-position model. The record is from RNAcentral.